CCCUUAGAUGUUCUGGGCCGCACGCGUGCUACACUGAGUGGAUCAGCGGGUCAGGUUGCGCGAAAGCGUUUCCUAAUCUUUAAAUCCGCUCGUGAUGGGGAUUGACGGUUGCAAUUUUCUGUCAUGAACGAGGAAUACCUUGUAAGCGCGGGUCAUCAUCCCGCGCUGAAUACGUCCCUGCCCUUUGUACACACCGCCCGUCGCUCCUACCGAUUGAGUGGUCCGGUGAAUAUCAUGGAUUGAGGAUGCAAGCAGGUUCGCCUGUCUUCAUCUUCGAGAAGUGAAGUAAAUCUUAUCAUUUAGAGGAAGGAGAAGUCGUAACA
This 323-nucleotide ribosomal RNA is filed under the name uncultured eukaryote. RNAcentral's name for it is "partial 18S ribosomal RNA". It matches the Rfam family "Eukaryotic small subunit ribosomal RNA", at positions 1470 to 1796 of the family's 1831-position model. The record is from RNAcentral.